AGUCAGGAUGGCCGAGUGGUCUAAGGCCCCAGACUCAAGUUCUGGUCUUCGAGAGAGGGCGUGGGUUCAAAUCCCACUUCUAACAA
This 86-nucleotide transfer RNA is filed under the name Helianthus annuus (common sunflower). RNAcentral describes it as "tRNA-Leu". It matches the Rfam family "tRNA". From Rfam's summary of the family: Transfer RNA (tRNA) molecules are approximately 80 nucleotides in length. Their secondary structure includes four short double-helical elements and three loops (D, anti-codon, and T loops). Lineage: Eukaryota; Viridiplantae; Streptophyta; Magnoliopsida; Asterales; Asteraceae. The record is from RNAcentral.